CGUCAGCUCGUGUUGUGAAAUGUUGGGUUAAGUCCCGCAACGAGCGCAACCCUUAUCCUUUGUUGCCAGCGGUCCGGCCGGGAACUCAAAGGAGACUGCCAGUGAUAAACUGGAGGAAGGUGGGGAUGACGUCAAGUCAUCAUGGCCCUUACGACCAGGGCUACACACGUGCUACAAUGGCGCAUACAAAGAGAAGCGACCUCGCGAGAGCAAGCGGACCUCAUAAAGUGCGUCGUAGUCCGGAUUGGAGUCUGCAACUCGACUCCAUGAAGUCGGAAUCGCUAGUAAUCGUGGAUCAGAAUGCCACGGUGAAUACGUUCCCGGGCCUUGUACACACCGCCCGUCACACCAUGGGAGUGGGUUGCAAAAGAAGUAGGUAGCUUAACCUUCGGGAGGGCGCUUACCACUUUGUGAUUCAUGACUGGGGUGAAGUCGUAACAAGGUAACCGUAGGGGAACCUGCGGUUGGAUCACCUCCUUACCUUAAAGAAGC
This 492-nucleotide ribosomal RNA is filed under the name Escherichia coli. RNAcentral describes it as "bacterial SSU rRNA". It matches the Rfam family "Bacterial small subunit ribosomal RNA", at positions 1053 to 1533 of the family's 1533-position model. The record is from RNAcentral. Lineage: Bacteria; Pseudomonadati; Pseudomonadota; Gammaproteobacteria; Enterobacterales; Enterobacteriaceae.